This 473-nucleotide ribosomal RNA is filed under the name uncultured bacterium. RNAcentral describes it as "bacterial SSU rRNA". It matches the Rfam family "Bacterial small subunit ribosomal RNA", at positions 335 to 799 of the family's 1533-position model. The record is from RNAcentral.
ACUCCUACGGGAGGCAGCAGUGGGGAAUAUUGGACAAUGGGCGAAAGCCUGAUCCAGCCAUGCCGCGUGUGUGAAGAAGGUCUUCGGAUUGUAAAGCACUUUAAGUUGGGAGGAAGGGCAGUAAGUUAAUACCUUGCUGUUUUGACGUUACCAACAGAAUAAGCACCGGCUAACUUCGUGCCAGCAGCCGCGGUAAUACGAAGGGUGCAAGCGUUAAUCGGAAUUACUGGGCGUAAAGCGCGCGUAGGUGGUUCAGCAAGUUGGAUGUGAAAUCCCCCGGGCUCAACCUGGGAACUGCAUCCAAAACUACUGAGCUAGAGUACGGUAGAGGGUGGUGGAAUUUCCUGUGUAGCGGUGAAAUGCGUAGAUAUAGGAAGGAACACCAGUGGCGAAGGCGACACCUGGACUGAUACUGACACUGAGGUGCGAAAGCGUGGGAGCAAACAGGAUUAGAUACCCCUGGUAGGAUAGCG